Molecule: long non-coding RNA, 291 nt
Organism: Mustela lutreola (European mink)
Lineage: Eukaryota; Metazoa; Chordata; Mammalia; Carnivora; Mustelidae
Exons: 5
Source: RefSeq, a predicted model, not a curated record
UUUUUUAGGGAAUAAAAUACAAAGAGAAUGCGUGGGAGGAUUUGCCACAGGAGCAACAAAGACCAAGAAGGAAAAGGACAAAUGUUAAGCUAUUGAACUCUACUGUUAUUGAAAAGAUCACAUUAGGAUAUCCUCCAUGGCGGCUGGGUAACUAAGACAAUGCAGUGGAAUGCCUGGCUGAGAGGGAUGUUUUACUUAUGAAAUAACCCAGGACCAGAGUUCUGCUUAUGGGUCCUGCCAGGAGCUUCUCAAGUAAAUGGACAAUGAAAUAAAUGAAAGAACAUAGCCAAG